UGCAGUCGAACGAUGAUCUCCAGCUUGCUGGGGGGAUUAGUGGCGAACGGGUGAGUAACACGUGAGUAACCUGCCCUUAACUCUGGGAUAAGCCUGGGAAACUGGGUCUAAUACCGGAUAUGACUCCUCAUCGCAUGGUGGGGGGUGGAAAGCUUUUGUGGUUUUGGAUGGACUCGCGGCCUAUCAGCUUGUUGGUGAGGUAAUGGCUCACCAAGGCGACGACGGGUAGCCGGCCUGAGAGGGUGACCGGCCACACUGGGACUGAGACACGGCCCAGACUCCUACGGGAGGCAGCAGUGGGGAAUAUUGCACAAUGGGCGCAAGCCUGAUGCAGCGACGCCGCGUGAGGGAUGACGGCCUUCGGGUUGUAAACCUCUUUCAGUAGGGAAGAAGCGAAAGUGACGGUACCUGCAGAAGAAGCGCCGGCUAACUACGUGCCAGCAGCCGCGGUAAUACGUAGGGCGCAAGCGUUAUCCGGAAUUAUUGGGCGUAAAGAGCUCGUAGGCGGUUUGUCGCGUCUGCCGUGAAAGUCCGGGGCUC
Molecule: ribosomal RNA, 540 nt
Filed under: Arthrobacter pascens
Lineage: Bacteria; Bacillati; Actinomycetota; Actinomycetes; Micrococcales; Micrococcaceae
Description: bacterial SSU rRNA
Rfam family: Bacterial small subunit ribosomal RNA
Source: RNAcentral